RNAcentral lists this ribosomal RNA (438 nucleotides) under Aphidius avenae. RNAcentral's name for it is "partial 28S ribosomal RNA". The record is from RNAcentral. Lineage: Eukaryota; Metazoa; Arthropoda; Insecta; Hymenoptera; Braconidae.
UUAAUAUUAAUAUAUAUUAUGAUAUGUUAAAUUUUUUUAAUUUUAUAUUAUUAAAUUUUUUCAUACAUAUAUAUAUUAUUUUAUUGUUUUACAUUGUCGGCGUGCACUUCUCCCCUAGUAGGACAUCGCGACCCGUUAGAUGUUGGUUUACGACCAAAUUGGGUAGCCUUUAUAUGUUUAACGACAUUAAAGACCAAUUUGUGUUUUCUAACCAAGUAUCUGACGGUAAUCGUAUGGUAUUAAGUCGCAUUUUAAUAUAUUUUUGCGUUCUUUACCCGUCGCAAGCGAGGCCUUUUUUAUUAAUUUACAGACUUUGUGCUGUUUAAUAAAAAUUUGGCCAGCUGUUAGCUGUUUACGGUGUUCUAGAACUGACUUAUUUAUAAAAAUACCUGUCGGCGAUGCUAUUGCUUUGGGUACUUUCAGGACCCGUCUUGAAAC